AAACUAUUCCCUCCGUUCGGAAUUACUUGUCUCGAAAAUGGAUGUAUCUAGAACUAAAAUACGUCUAGAUACAUCCAUUUCUGCGACAAAUAAUUCCGAACAGAGGGAGUAGUAG
Molecule: non-coding RNA, 115 nt
Organism: Triticum aestivum (bread wheat)
Lineage: Eukaryota; Viridiplantae; Streptophyta; Magnoliopsida; Poales; Poaceae
Source: Rfam